UUACAACUAGAACUUUUGCACAAAGGAUCAAUGAGCAUAAAAAAGAUAUUAUGGCAGGCAGGACAACGAAAGCAUUGGCAGAAGAAGCAUAUAGUAAGAACAUCCAAGUGGGACUGAGUCAAAAUAAUAAAACCAAUCGCCAUAAUAUCACAGGCAUUAACACAGGAAACCAUAGAAAUAACCACUGGAAAGGAGGACCAAUGUCUUAUAAACGAUGGACUGGCAAUGGAAUUGCCAAUCCCUGGAAGUACAUAUUAGAAGAAAAUAUGAAGUACAGAAGCAUACAAUUAUAGGAAGAUCAGCAAGGACGACGUUUUUUUUUUAAAGUUAAGACUAUAUAUAGUUACUUGCCAGAUAUAAUGAUAUGUUUUUAUGAGCAUAGGUUACUUGAAUUAUUGACUAGCAUACAUUUGAUUAUAUAUAGCAUCUCUUGUGCUUUAUUUACCUAUUGAUUUAUUUUAUCUUAUCUUAG
RNAcentral lists this long non-coding RNA (472 nucleotides) under Androctonus crassicauda. The record is from RNAcentral. Lineage: Eukaryota; Metazoa; Arthropoda; Arachnida; Scorpiones; Buthidae.